GAUGAACGCUGGCGGCGUGCCUAAUACAUGCAAGUCGAGCGAACAGACGAGGAGCUUGCUCCUCUGACGUUAGCGGCGGACGGGUGAGUAACACGUGGAUAACCUACCUAUAAGACUGGGAUAACUUCGGGAAACCGGAGCUAAUACCGGAUAAUAUAUUGAACCGCAUGGUUCAAUAGUGAAAUACGGUUUUUCUGUCACUUAUAGAUUGAUCCGCGCCGCAUUAGCUAGUUGGUAAGGUAACGGCUUACCAAGGCAACGAUGCGUAGCCGACCUGAGAGGGUGAUCGGCCACACUGGAACUGAGACACGGUCCAGACUCCUACGGGAGGCAGCAGUAGGGAAUCUUCCGCAAUGGGCGAAAGCUUGACGGAGCAACGCCGCGUGAGUGAUGAAGGUCUUCGGAUCGUAAAACUCUGUUAUUAGGGAAGAACAAAUGUGUAAGUAACUAUGCACGUCUUGACGGUACCUAAUCAGAAAGCCACGGCUAACUACGUG
RNAcentral lists this ribosomal RNA (497 nucleotides) under uncultured bacterium. RNAcentral describes it as "partial 16S ribosomal RNA". It matches the Rfam family "Bacterial small subunit ribosomal RNA", at positions 28 to 507 of the family's 1533-position model. The record is from RNAcentral.